UACGGGGGCAGCAGUAGGGAAUCUUCGGCAAUGGGGGCAACCCUGACCGAGCAACGCCGCGUGAGUGAAGAAGGUUUUCGGAUCGUAAAGCUCUGUUGUAAGAGAAGAACGUGUGUGAGAGUGGAAAGUUCACACAGUGACGGUAACUUACCAGAAAGGGACGGCUAACUACGUGCCAGCAGCCGCGGUAAU
RNAcentral lists this ribosomal RNA (192 nucleotides) under uncultured rumen bacterium. Its description in RNAcentral is "partial 16S ribosomal RNA". It matches the Rfam family "Bacterial small subunit ribosomal RNA", at positions 340 to 524 of the family's 1533-position model. The record is from RNAcentral.